RNAcentral lists this non-coding RNA (81 nucleotides) under human gut metagenome. RNAcentral describes it as "Cyclic di-GMP-I riboswitch". It matches the Rfam family "c-di-GMP-I riboswitch aptamer". From Rfam's summary of the family: GEMM was predicted in a large-scale screen for bacterial structured RNA regulatory elements. Genes associated with GEMM are involved in a diverse array of functions, including chemotaxis regulation, signal transduction, secretion and chitin. The record is from RNAcentral.
AUUACAUAGGCAAAACCGCUGAAAGGCGGCGACGCAAAGCUGUGAGUCUACGGCAUACCUUGCUAGGAUCGUCAAGCUGCA